ACGGAAGGCAGCAGCUAAGAAUAUUCCGCAAUGGACGAAAGUCUGACGGAGCGACGCCGCGUGGAUGAUGAAGGUCGGAAGAUUGUAAAAUCCUUUUAUAACUGAGGAAUAAGUACUGUGAGAGAAACGCAGUAUGGUGACUGUAGGUUAUGAAUAAGCAACGGCUAAUUACGUGCCAGCAGCCGCGGUAACACGUAAGUUGCGAGCGUUGUUCGGAAUUAUUGGGCGUAAAGGGCAUGUAGGCGGUUUUGCAAGCUUGGUGUGAAAUCUCGGAGCUCAACUCCGAAAUUGCGUUGAGAACUGCAUAACUGGAGUCACUGAGGGGCAAUCAGAAUUCCUGGUGUAGGGGUGAAAUCUGUAGAUAUCUGGAAGAAUACCAAUGGCGAAGGCAGGCUGCUAACAGAUGACUGACGCUGAGGCGUGAAGGUGCGGGGAGCAAACAGGAUUAGAUACCCUGGUA
Molecule: ribosomal RNA, 460 nt
Filed under: uncultured Treponema sp.
Lineage: Bacteria; Pseudomonadati; Spirochaetota; Spirochaetia; Treponematales; Treponemataceae
Description: partial 16S ribosomal RNA
Rfam family: Bacterial small subunit ribosomal RNA
Source: RNAcentral